UAUGCCUCAGANGGGGANCCCCCGGGUAUCUGAGGCUGAUCCCAGAUAGAUGAUGGAUCCUGGAAUGGUCCUUCAUCCAAAAAAUACGCGUUUCAUGCUAUGCGUGUUGCCUGAGGAUUGGACCGCACCCUAUCAGGUAGUUGGUGGGGUAAUGGCCCACCAAGCCUAUAACGGGUACGGGCCCUGAGAGGGGGAGCCCGGAGAUGGGCACUGAGACAAGGGCCCAGGCCCUACGGGGCGCAGCAGGCGCGGAACCUCUGCAAUGCGCGAAAGCGCGACAGGGCCACCCCGAGUGCUAUCCGCUGAGGGUAGCUUUUCCUUAGUGUAGUAAGCUAGGGGAAUAAGCGGGGGGCAAGCCUGGUGUCAGCCGCCGCGGUAAUACCAGCUCCGCGAGUGGUCGGGACGAUUAUUGGGCCUAAAGCGUUCGUAGCCGGCCUAUCAAGUCUCUGGUUAAAUUUCAAGGCUUAACCUUGAACGUGCUGGAGAUACUGUUAGGCUAGGGGGCGGGAGAGGUUGAGGGUACUUCGCGGGUAGGGGCGAAAUCCUAUAAUCCGCGAAGGACCACCAGUGGCGAANGCGCUCAACUGGAACGCGCCCGACGGUGAGGGACGAAAGCCAGGGGAGCAAAGGGGAUUAGAUACCCCCGUAGUCCUGGCUGUAACGAUGCGGGCUANGUGUUGGGUUGGCUUCNUGCCANCCGGUGCCNC
RNAcentral lists this ribosomal RNA (707 nucleotides) under uncultured crenarchaeote. RNAcentral's name for it is "bacterial SSU rRNA". It matches the Rfam family "Archaeal small subunit ribosomal RNA", at positions 109 to 804 of the family's 1478-position model. The record is from RNAcentral. Lineage: Archaea; Thermoproteati; Thermoproteota.